UCAGGGCUAGGCAGGAAAAAAUAGCUCUGCAUGUGGACAAAGAAUGCUGCAAAUGAAGCGACUCAAGUGGUUUACUUAAAAACUUAAAAUGUGCAAAGAUCAGUCACUAGAUUAGUGUUACUGGGGGUUUUAUCUUCCAGCGGGAAAAUAUUUUUUGUGCUUGUAUGAAGCUACUUUGUCUAUUUAGAUUUGGGUGUUUUACAGGAGAGAUUAAAUGUUAACCUUUGAAGCUAUUGGGAUUAUUCUUUUUUGUGGCGACCCCAAAUCCGGGUACUUGCAACCCGAACUCGGUUCUCCACGAU
RNAcentral lists this long non-coding RNA (302 nucleotides) under Panax ginseng (ginseng). Its description in RNAcentral is "long non-coding RNA (PGIN_LNC006460)". Lineage: Eukaryota; Viridiplantae; Streptophyta; Magnoliopsida; Apiales; Araliaceae. The record is from RNAcentral.